UGAGUAACCUGCCCUUAACUCUGGGAUAAGCCUGGGAAACUGGGUCUAAUACCGGAUAUGACUCCUCAUCGCAUGGUGGGGGGUGGAAAGCUUUAUUGUGGUUUUGGAUGGACUCGCGGCCUAUCAGCUUGUUGGUGAGGUAAUGGCCCACCAAGGCGACGACGGGUAGCCGGCCUGAGAGGGUGACCGGCCACACUGGGACUGAGACACGGCCCAGACUCCUACGGGAGGCAG
Molecule: ribosomal RNA, 234 nt
Filed under: uncultured bacterium
Lineage: Bacteria
Description: partial 16S ribosomal RNA
Rfam family: Bacterial small subunit ribosomal RNA
Source: RNAcentral